This 929-nucleotide long non-coding RNA is filed under the name Olea europaea subsp. europaea. Lineage: Eukaryota; Viridiplantae; Streptophyta; Magnoliopsida; Lamiales; Oleaceae. The record is from RNAcentral.
UCUUCUCAAAAUUUGUGGUUCACCAUGCACAUAUCGUCCAAGAUUCUGGAAUCCGUUUAUCAAUCCAACACUUUCCAGUUCACUUCCAGAAAUUCCACCAAAUCAUCAUCUGAAAACGACUGAAUCAAUGGCAAAUUCAAUCUUAAAAUCCCACAUAUUCCGCAAAAACUCUCGAGAAAUAUGCUUAUGGCCAAAAACCAUUCUCCCAAACAAUGCUACUCUAUCCAGUAGUAGACGAUUCUCCAGCCUACCUCUUCUUCUACUUAAUCAUAUUCUUCUUCGUUCUUCUCCUCUUCCGAUUUGCCAUAGUCUUCUUGUUCAUCCUGUUCCUUGUGUUCCUCUGCACCGACGUUGUUUACCUUCUCACUUCGUUUCUAUGUCCUCCAUAACCCGGUUACAGGACAUCAGUGCCAACCCCCUUAAGUAAGAACCCUUUUCUCCAUUAUCAAUUUUUAUGGGCAUAUAAUGGUUCUUUUUCGAUCUUUAUAGUCAUUGUUUAGAGUCUAGCUAUAAUAUUAGUUCAAUUUUUACAGGAAAGGUACAACUUUGAAGCACAAACUACUAUGAAUAUAAUCUUGUACCUUGUGGCUUAUUCAUUGCUUCAACGAUUACUAUAAUCCGAAUUGAAAAUUGUCGAUGAAUUUUUUUAAUUCUCUAUUUGGCAUUGCGAUUGCGUUUUGGUACUAGAUAUGUACGUUUGUGUGAUACAGGUGAGGAUGGCGAUAAAGGAGAGGGAGGGUGCACGAGAUGGGUCGAUCCAGACUUUAAUAAUAAUAAUAUUUUUUUUACAAGUAAAACCUACGUAAUGUUAUAUCUUGUUAAUUGGAUGUAUCAUUGACUCUCCUUAGCUCAACCAUAUGAUUAAUUUGGUGCAUUUUGAUUCGUUCUCGAUAAUUGAGUUAUUUCGACAUAUGAUGCUAUGUGGAUCC